AUGGCUCAGAUUGAACGCUGGCGGCAGGCUUAACACAUGCAAGUCGAGCGGGGAAUUGUAGCUUGCUACAUGACCUAGCGGCGGACGGGUGAGUAAUGCUUAGGAAUCUGCCUAUUAGUGGGGGACAACAUUUCGAAAGGAAUGCUAAUACCGCAUACGUCCUACGGGAGAAAGCAGGGGACCUUCGGGCCUUGCGCUAAUAGAUGAGCCUAAGUCGGAUUAGCUAGUUGGUGGGGUAAAGGCCUACCAAGGCGACGAUCUGUAGCGGGUCUGAGAGGAUGAUCCGCCACACUGGGACUGAGACACGGCCCAGACUCCUACGGGAGGCAGCAGUGGGGAAUAUUGGACAAUGGGGGCAACCCUGAUCCAGCCAUGCCGCGUGUGUGAAGAAGGCCCUUUUGGUUGUAAAGCACUUUAAGCGAGGAGGAGGCUACUUAGAUUAAUACUCUGAGAUAGUGGACGUUACUCGCAGAAUAAGCACCGGCUAACUCUGUGCCAGCCGCAGC
RNAcentral lists this ribosomal RNA (506 nucleotides) under uncultured bacterium. Its description in RNAcentral is "bacterial SSU rRNA". It matches the Rfam family "Bacterial small subunit ribosomal RNA", at positions 19 to 518 of the family's 1533-position model. The record is from RNAcentral.